Molecule: ribosomal RNA, 442 nt
Filed under: uncultured bacterium
Lineage: Bacteria
Description: bacterial SSU rRNA
Rfam family: Bacterial small subunit ribosomal RNA
Source: RNAcentral
AGCGAACGCUGGCGGCAGGCUUAACACAUGCAAGUCGAGCGGAUGUAGCAAUACAUCAGCGGCAGACGGGAGAGUAACACGUGGGAACGUACCCUUCAGUUCGGAACAACCCAGGGAAACUUGGGCUAAUACCGGAUACGUCCGUAAGGAGAAAGAUUUAUCGCUGAGGGAUCGGCCCGCGUCUGAUUAGCUAGUUGGUGAGGUAACGGCUCACCAAGGCGACGAUCAGUAGCUGGUCUGAGAGGAUGAUCAGCCUCACUGGGACUGAGACACGGCCCAGACUCCUACGGGAGGCAGCAGUGGGGAAUAUUGGACAAUGGGCGCAAGCCUGAUCCAGCCAUGCCGCGUGGGUGAUGAAGGCCCUAGGGUUGUAAACCUCUUUCAGCCCUGACGAAGCGAAAGUGACGGUAGGGGCAGAAGAAGCACCGGCCAACUACGUGCC